CUACAAUUUCCCUCUAUUCUCUCUCCAAAUUCGAGGCUCAGAGGGGUUCUAUCGAUCAAUUAAAAUUAAGGCUUUUAUUCUUUCGGCUUCAGUUUAUUCUUCAAUUUUUUAAUGUUUCUUUGAUUUUCUAUUUAUGAAGGUUUGAAUUUUAGAGGAAAUGGAGUAUGUGGGGAGAAAGGUGAAGAAAGAGUUUGAAGGGCAUGGUACAUUCUUCGGUUCUGUUGAAUCGUACGACGCUUCAACUAGGUUUUUCAAGAUCGUGUACGAGGACGGCGAUUCCGAGGAAUUGGACUUGACUGAAAUUAGUUCUCUAUUGGUGUCUUCAGAGGGACUGGAGUCGGCUCGGGAAGCGCAGCCAUCCUCCGCGGAGGAGCCCACCAGAAGGCUUGUUCGCAAGCGGAGGAAGCGGAGCCAUAUGAAUACAGGUAAAAUUGGUAUUUCAGUAAUAGAGAGUGGCGUUUCUGGUAAUUCUGGGGACAUGGAAUUAAAUGCGGUUGGUUUGAAUUUGAAUGAAGGGUUGGAUUUAAAUGAUGAUGGGUUUAAUAAUUUAAAUGAUGAUUAUGAGGGGACUUUGGGUAAUAAUUGUGAUGUUGGUGGGGCUAAGCUGCAAGGUGUGAAUUUGAAUGAAGCUGUGAAUUUGGAAUCGAGGGAUGAGGGCAUGGCUUUAAGUGAAAGGGUUUCAGAUGAUAGGUUGGGGAAAAGAAAAGAAUUAAUUGAUUUAAAUUUGGAUGUAAAUGAAGAUUCUGAGAAUUUCAGU
Molecule: long non-coding RNA, 757 nt
Filed under: Olea europaea subsp. europaea
Lineage: Eukaryota; Viridiplantae; Streptophyta; Magnoliopsida; Lamiales; Oleaceae
Source: RNAcentral